GACGAACGCUGGCGGCGUGCCUAAUACAUGCAAGUAGAACGCUGAGGGAGGAGCUUGCUCUUCUGGAUGAGUUGCGAACGGGUGAGUAACGCGUAGGUAACCUGCCUGGUAGCGGGGGAUAACUAUUGGAAACGAUAGCUAAUACCGCAUAACAGUAGAUGUUGCAUGACAUUUGCUUAAAAGGUGCAAUUGCAUCACUACCAGAUGGACCUGCGUUGUAUUAGCUAGUUGGUGGGGUAACGGCUCACCAAGGCGACGAUACAUAGCCGACCUGAGAGGGUGAUCGGCCACACUGGGACUGAGACACGGCCCAGACUCCUACGGGAGGCAGCAGUAGGGAAUCUUCGGCAAUGGACGGAAGUCUGACCGAGUAACGCCGCGUGAGUGAAGAAGGUUUUCGGAUCGUAAAGCUCUGUUGUAAGAGAAGAACGAGUGUGAGAGUGGAAAGUUCACACUGUGACGGCAUCUUACCAGAAAGGGACGGCUAACUACGUGC
This 496-nucleotide ribosomal RNA is filed under the name uncultured Streptococcus sp. Its description in RNAcentral is "bacterial SSU rRNA". It matches the Rfam family "Bacterial small subunit ribosomal RNA", at positions 28 to 508 of the family's 1533-position model. Lineage: Bacteria; Bacillati; Bacillota; Bacilli; Lactobacillales; Streptococcaceae. The record is from RNAcentral.